This 3656-nucleotide long non-coding RNA is filed under the name Mus musculus (house mouse). RNAcentral's name for it is "long non-coding RNA chr13:76954214-76957870". Lineage: Eukaryota; Metazoa; Chordata; Mammalia; Rodentia; Muridae. The record is from RNAcentral.
UCCAGUUUCUAUCUGCAUUGGGAAUUGAUCCUGUGUCACAGUGCUCCAUACUCAAAUACCUCCUGGAGAGAGUGGGUCUCCCAGGAGUGUGGACAUACCUGUGAGUACAGGUAACACCACCACUUCUGCUCCAAGGACCCUCAGGACACAGGAACCAAGGAGCAGUGUUGGAUGGAAUCCUUCCAGUUUCUGUUUAAACCCUGAGAUGAUCCUGUGUCACAAUGUUCCAUACCCAAAAGCUCCAUGCCCAAAUACCUCCAGGAGAGAGAUGGUCUCCCAGGAAUACUGACACACUGGGGAGCACAGGUAAGAUCACCACUUCUGCUCAAAUUCCUGGCCCAAGAUGAACCUGCCCAUAGCCAUCAGAACACAGGAACCAAAAAAACAGCUUGGGACAGGAUCCUUCUGGUUUUCAUCUGCGCCUAAAAGCUGACCCUGUGCCAGAACUCACGAAAAACAAAUUCAUCCUGGAGAGAACUGGUCUCCUGGGAGGACUGACACAAAGGUCUGCAGGAGGGACAAGCCACAGUCAGAGACGGCAAGACCAGGUAACACCAGAGAUAAUCAGAUGGUUAGAGGUGAGAGGCAAGGGCAAGAACAUAAGCAACAGAAACGAAGGCUACUUGAGAUAAUCAGAACCCAGUUCUCCUACCACAUCGAGCCUUGGAUAACCAACACACUAGAAAAGCAAGACUCUGAUUUAAAAUCACAUCCCAUGAUGAUGAUAGAGGACUUUAAGAAGGACAUAAAUAACUCCCUUAAAGAAACACAUGAGAACACAGGUAAACAAGUAGAAACCCUUAAAGAAAAAAAAAACAAAAACAAAAACAAAAAAUCCCUUAAAGAAUUACCGAAAAACACAAACAAACAGGUGAAGGAAUUGAACAAAACCAUCCAGGAUCUAAAAAUGGAAAUAGAAACAAUAAAGACAUCACAAAGGGAGACAGCCCUGGAGUAAGAAAGCAUACAAAAGAGACCAGGAGUCAUAGAUGCAAGCAAAAAAAACAAAACAAAACAAAACAAAACAAAACAAAACAAAACAAAACAAAACAACCACCCUUGAGAUAGAAGAGAGAAUCUCAGGUGCAAAAGAUACCAUAGAAAACAUUGGCACUGGCCUCAAGCUAUAGUACAGAGCAAUUGUGAUAAAAAACAAACAAACAAACAAACAAACAAAAAACCUGCAUGGUACUAGUACAGCUACAGAUCAAUGGAAUAGAAUUGAAGACCCAGAAAUGAGCCCACACACCCAUGGUUACUUGAUCUGUGACAAAGGAGCUAAAACCAUCCAGUGGAAAAAAGACAGAAUUUUCAACAAAUGAUGCUGGCACAACUGGUGGUUAUCAUGUAGAAGAAUUCAAAUUGAUCCAAUCUUAUCUCCUUGUACAAAGAAUAAGUCUAAAUGGAUCAAAGAACUCCACAUAAAACCAGAGACACUGAAAUUUAUAGAGGAGAAAGUGGGGAAAAACCUCAAAGAUAUGGGCACAGGGGAAAAAUUCCUAAAAAGAACAGCAAUGGCUUAAGCUGUAAGAUCAAGAAUUGACAAACAGAACCUCAUAAAAUUGCAAAGCUUCUGUAAGGCAAAAGAUACUGUCAAUAAGACAAAAAGGCCACCAAGAGAUUGGGAAAGAAUUUUUACUAAUCUUAAAUCUGAUAGGGGAAUAAUAUCCAAUAUAUACAAAGAGCUCAAGAAGCUGAACUCCAGAAAUUCAAAUAACCCUAUUAAAAAAUGGGGUAUAGAGCUAAACAAAGAAUUUUCAACUGAGGAAUACCAAAGAGCUGAGAAGCACCUGAAAAAAAUGUUCAACAUCCUUAAUCAUCAGGGAAGUGCAAAUUAAAACAACCCUGAGAUUCUACCUCACACCCGUCAGAAUGGCUAAGAUCAAAAAUUCAGGUGACAGCAGAUGCUGGCAAGGAUGGGGAGAAAGAGGAACAUUCUUCCAAUGCUGGUGGGAUUGCAAGCUUGUACAACCACUCUGGAAAUCAGUAUGGUGGUUCCUCAGAUAAUUGGACAGAUCUUGCAAUACCUCUCCUGGGCAUAUACCUAGAAGAUGUUCCAACUGGUAAGAAGGACACAUGCUCCACUAUGUUCAUAGCAGCCUUAUUUAUAAUAGCCAGAAACUGGAGAGAACCCAGAUGACCCUAAACAGAGGAAUGAAUAUAGAAAAUGUGGUACAUUUACAUAAUGGAGUACUACUCAGCUAUUAAAAAUGAUGAAUUUAUGAAGUUCUUAGGCAAAUGGAUGUAUCUGGAGGAUAUCAUCCUGAGUGAUGUAAUCCAGUCACAAAAGAAGUCACUUGAUAUGCACUCACUCAUAUGUGAAUAUUAGCCCAGAAACUUAGACUACCCAAGAUACAAUUUGCAAAACACAAGAAAAUCAAGAAGAAGAAAGACCAAUGUGUGGAUACUUCAUUCCUCCUUAGCAUAGGGAACAAAAUACCCAUGGAAGGAGUUACAGAGACAAAGUUUGAAGCUAAGACAAAAGGAUGGACCAUCCAGAGACUGCCCCACCCGGGGAUCCAUCCCAUAAUCAACCACCAAACGCAGACAUUAUUGCAUAUGCCAGCAAGAUUAUGCUGAAAGGAACCUGAUAUAGCUGUCUCUUGUGAGGCUAUGCCAGUGCCUGGCAAAUACAGAAGUGGAUGCUCACAGUCAUCUAUAGGAUGGAACACAGGGCCCCCAAUGGAAAAUCUAGAGAAAGUACCCAAGGAACUGAAGGGGUCUGCAACCCUAUAGGUGGAACAAUAAUAUGAACUAACCAGUACCCCUAGCUCAUGUCUCUAGCUGCAUAUGUAGCAGAAGAUGUCCUAGUUGGCCAUCAUUGGGAAGAGAGGCCCCUUUGUCUUGCAAACUUUAUAUGCCCCAGUACAGGGGAUCGCUUGGGCCAAGAAGUGGGAGUGGGUGAGUAGGAGAUCAGGGUGUGGGGGAGAGUAUAGGGGACUUUUGGCAUAGCAUUUGAAAUGUAAAUUAAGAAAAUAUCUAAUAAGAAAUUUAAAAAAAGAAAAAGAAACAUUGGCAUAAGAGACAAAGAAAAUGCAAAAUGCUCCUAAGCAAAACAUCCAGGAAAUCCAGGACAGAAUGAGAUGACCAAAUCUAAGGUUAAUAUGUGUAAAGAGUAAAGAUUCCCAACUUACAGGACUAGUAAAUAUCUUCAACAAAAUUAUAGAAUAAAACUUCCCUAGCCUAAAGAAAGAGAUGCUAAUAAACAGAAAAGAAGCGUACAGAACUCAAAUAGACUGGGCCAGAAAAGAAAUCCCACCUGUCACAUUAUAGUCAAAACAUCAAAUGCACAAAACCAAGAUAGAAUAUUAAAAGUAGUAAGAGAAAAAGGUCAAGAUAUAUAAAGGCAAGCCUAUCAGAAUUACACCAGACUUCUCACCAGAGACUAUGAGAUCUAGAAGAUGUUAGGCAGAUGUUACACAAACACUAAUAGAACACAAAUGCCAACCCAGGCAACUAUACCCAACAAAACUCUCAAUUAAUACAGAUGGAGAAACUAAGGUAUUCCAUGACAAAACCCAAUUUAAACAAUAUCUUUCCACAAAUACAUCCCUACAAAGGAUAAUAACCAUAAAAUGCCAAUACAAGGAGGGAAAAUAUACCCUAGAAAAAGCAAUAAAAUAAUUUUCUUUCAACAAACCCAAAAGAAGAUAGCC